AUUGAACGCUGGCGGCAGGCCUAACACAUGCAAGUCGAGCGGAUGAAGGGAGCUUGCUCCUGGAUUCAGCGGCGGACGGGUGAGUAAUUCCUAGGAAUCUGCCUUGUAGUGGGGGAUAACGUCCGGAAACGGGCGCUAAUACCGCAUACGUCCUGAGGGAGAAAGUGGGGGAUCUUCGGACCUCACGCUAUCAGAUGAGCCUAGGUCGGAUUAGCUAGUUGGUGGGGUAAAGGCCUACAAAGGCGACGAUCCGUAACUGGUCUGAGAGGAUGAUCAGUCACACUGGAACUGAGACACGGUCCAGACUCCUACGGGAGGCAGCAGUGGGGAAUAUUCGACAAUGGGCGAAAGCCUGAUCCAGCCAUGCCGCGUGUGUGAAGAAGGUCUUCGGAUUGUAAAGCACUUUAAGUUGGGAGGAAGGGCAGUAAGUUAAUACCUUGCUGUUUUGACGUUACCAACAGAAUAAGCACCGGCUAACUUCGUG
Molecule: ribosomal RNA, 484 nt
Filed under: uncultured bacterium
Lineage: Bacteria
Description: partial 16S ribosomal RNA
Rfam family: Bacterial small subunit ribosomal RNA
Source: RNAcentral